UACGGAGGGUGCAAGCGUUGUUCGGAAUCAUUGGGCGUAAAGCGCGUGCAGGCGGUUUGGCAAGUCGGGUGUGAAAGCCCUUGGCUCAACUGAGGAAUUGCAUUCGAAACUGCCAGACUUGAGUGCGGGAGAGGGUAGUGGAACUCCUAGUGUAGAGGUGAAAUUCGUAGAUAUUAGGAGGAACACCUGUGGCGAAGGCGGCUACCUGGACCGACACUGACGCUGAGACGCGAAAGCGUGGGGAG
RNAcentral lists this ribosomal RNA (245 nucleotides) under uncultured bacterium. Its description in RNAcentral is "partial 16S ribosomal RNA". It matches the Rfam family "Bacterial small subunit ribosomal RNA", at positions 524 to 768 of the family's 1533-position model. The record is from RNAcentral.